GCAAACUUGGUCAUUUAGAGGAAGUAAAAGUCGUAACAAGGUCUCCGUUGGUGAACCAGCGGAGGGAUCAUUGUAGAGUUUUUCAAACUCCCAACCCUAUGUGAACUUAUUCUUUUGUUGCCUCGGCGGCGAUGCCCUUCGAGGUAAAGCCGCCGAAGGCCCUAUAAAUUCAAGUUUUUUUUUAAUUAUCUCUGAGUGUCUUAAUAAAUACGUUAAAACUUUCAACAACGGAUCUCUUGGUUCUGGCAUCGAUGAAGAACGCAGC
This 265-nucleotide unclassified non-coding RNA is filed under the name uncultured fungus. RNAcentral describes it as "partial contains small subunit ribosomal RNA, internal transcribed spacer 1, and 5.8S ribosomal RNA". The stretch from base 1 to 73 matches the Rfam family "Eukaryotic small subunit ribosomal RNA", at positions 1759 to 1831 of the family's 1831-position model. The record is from RNAcentral. Lineage: Eukaryota; Fungi.